This 465-nucleotide ribosomal RNA is filed under the name uncultured bacterium. Its description in RNAcentral is "partial 16S ribosomal RNA". It matches the Rfam family "Bacterial small subunit ribosomal RNA", at positions 28 to 507 of the family's 1533-position model. The record is from RNAcentral.
GACGAACGCUGGCGGCGUGCUUAACACAUGCAAGUCGAACGGAAAGGCCCUGCUUGCUGGGUACUCGAGUGGUGAACGGGUGAGUAACACGUUUGUGAUCUGCCCUGCACUUCGGGAUAAGCCUGGGAAACUGGUUCUAAUACCUGACAGGAGCCAUUUCUCCUGUGAUGGUUGGAGAGUUUUUUCGGUGUAGGAUGAGCUUGCGGCCUAUCCGCUUGUUGGUGGGGUAAUGGCCUACCAAGGCGGCGACGGGUAGCCGGACUGAGAGGGUGGACGGCCACAGUGAGACUGAGAUACGGACAAGACUCAGACGGGAGGGAGAAGUGGGGAAGAGGGAAAAAGGGGAGCAAGCGUGAGGCAGAGACGCCGAGUGGGGGAUGACGGCGUUCGGGUUGGAAUCGCCAUGCGCUAGGGACGAAGCUGUUAGUGACGGUACCUAGAGAAGAAGCACCGGCUAACUACGUG